CAACAGGGAUUGCCUUAGUAACGGCGAGUGAAGCGGCAACAGCUCAAAUUUGAAAUCUGGCUCUUUCAGAGUCCGAGUUGUAAUUUGCAGAGGGCGCUUUGGCUUUGGCAGCGGUCCAAGUUCCUUGGAACAGGACGUCACAGAGGGUGAGAAUCCCGUACGUGGUCGCUAGCUAUUGCCGUGUAAAGCCCCUUCGACGAGUCGAGUUGUUUGGGAAUGCAGCUCUAAAUGGGAGGUAAAUUUCUUCUAAAGCUAAAUAUUGGCCAGAGACCGAUAGCGCACAAGUAGAGUGAUCGAAAGAUGAAAAGCACUUUGGAAAGAGAGUCAAACAGCACGUGAAAUUGUUGAAAGGGAAGCGCUUGCAGCCAGACUUGCUUGCAGUUGCUCAUCCGGGCUUUUGCCCGGUGCACUCUUCUGCAGGCAGGCCAGCAUCAGUUUGGGCGGUGGGAUAAAGGUCUCUGUCACGUUCCUUCCUUCGGGUUGGCCAUAUAGGGGAGAUGUCAUACCACCAGCCUGGACUGAGGUCCGCGCAUCUGCUAGGAUGCUGGCGUAAUGGCUGUAAGCGGCCCGUCUUGAAACACGGACCAAGGAGUCUAACAUCUAUGCGAGUGUUUGGGUGUCAAGCCCGAGCGCGUAAUGAAAGUGAACGGAGGUGGGAACCCGCAAGGGCGCACCAUCGACCGAUCCUGAAGUUUACGGAAGGAUUUGAGUAAGAGCAUGGCUGUUGGGACCCGAAAGAUGGUGAACUAUGCUUGAAUAGGGUGAAGCCAGAGGAAACUCUGGUGGAGGCUCGCAGCGGUUCUGACGUGCAAAUCGAUCGUCAAAUUUGGGCAUAGGGGCGAAAGACUAAUCGAACU
RNAcentral lists this ribosomal RNA (857 nucleotides) under Curvularia affinis. RNAcentral's name for it is "eukaryotic LSU rRNA". It matches the Rfam family "Eukaryotic large subunit ribosomal RNA", at positions 66 to 941 of the family's 3401-position model. The record is from RNAcentral. Lineage: Eukaryota; Fungi; Ascomycota; Dothideomycetes; Pleosporales; Pleosporaceae.